Cannabis sativa is the source of this 1198-nucleotide long non-coding RNA. RefSeq lists it as uncharacterized. NCBI's taxonomy places the organism in Eukaryota, Viridiplantae, Streptophyta, Magnoliopsida, Rosales, Cannabaceae. The transcript has 2 exons. The record is from RefSeq and is a predicted model, not a curated record.
AUCUAGCCCAAUCCAAGUUCAAGCUCUAGCCAAUCCAGCCCAACAACCCCUGAUCCCAGCUCAGGCCAACCAACCCCACCUCAAACUCAAACUCAAACUUCCCCUCCUCCACCGCAGGACUCAAACCUAGUCCCACCUCCGCCCAAUGCUAAACCCGUUUCACAGUCUCCGCCGCCACCUAGUCCUGACCUAACUCAGUCGCCGCCAUCACAAUCGCCGCCGCAAGUGGCUGUUUAGGCAUAUUUGAUUGAAACAAUGGAACCCUUAUUUUUCGAAUGCAUAUUUUUGCCCUUUGAUUUUGAAUAGUUUUUCUUUUGCGAAAAUAUGGCAUCGCGAUUCUGGACCCAGCCUGGAAGUGACUCUAAGGAGGAAGAGAGUGACAUUGACGAGAAAAUAUAUUAUUGGAUCGUGUCUAAUCUGGGAUGGGUCAAGGUUAGGGCUGAAGAGGCUAUCUGGGUUCAUUCUAAUGAGAUGGGCAGUGAGAGAUGCAUUGACUCAGCUUCUUGGUUUGUUGUAUUUUGGAGAAAUUGAAGACCAGUAUUCAUUUUUUAAGCUAUUUGUGAGGUUGAAACUUAUACCAUUCUCUGUUAUGUCUUCAUGGAUUCGUGCAGAGAAGAAGAAGAAGACGAAGAAGAAAAGAAAGAAAAAGAAAAAGAAAAAAAAAGAAAAGAAAAAGAAAAAGUAAAAAAAUAAAUUAUUUUAAAAUUAUUUAUUUAUUUAUUUUUAUUUGUUAAAAUUAAAAUAAUAAUUUGGACCAAUGAUAUUUCGAUACGUGGCAAUUUUAAUAGAGUUAACGGCUCAGUUAAAAUUAGGACUAACACACAAAUAAAAAACAUGAGUUUGAGGACUUAUCUGUAUCAAACUAAACUUUUGGAUGACUUUUGCUGCAAAUUUCCCUUAAAUAAACCAUCUUUUGAUAGAUAGGAAAAAAAAAAAUACUUGUACCACUUUGUUAAUGUUUUUCCAAACCCUUGUACUCUUAUUUUUAUUUUAUUUUUUUUAGGUUUUAGGGGAGGGGUAUAUCAUUUUUAUUUUUAAUUUUUUUAAUCUGUAGAUUUAUUUUGUAUUAUUUGUUACUGAUGGAAGAUAUUCUCUAAAGAAAUCUCUACGUUGUAAUCAAACAUUCUUGAUCUUAUAUUGUUUAUCGGUUCAAAUUCAAGAUUGUUCAUUUUUAACUUUGAAAUAUUACUUUCUUGAC